AUCUUUGUGCAGUGGCAGUAUCAUAGCCCGUGAUGUUUAUCCGAGGCUUGAUUAUUGUUAGUUGAAAGCUUUACCCAAUACCUUGCCUUGAUGACUUGAACUGUAGUCAGCUAUGGCAAUUUUUGAUAGUGUCCGUUGAGA
Molecule: small nuclear RNA, 141 nt
Organism: Entelurus aequoreus (snake pipefish)
Lineage: Eukaryota; Metazoa; Chordata; Actinopteri; Syngnathiformes; Syngnathidae
Product: U4 spliceosomal RNA
Exons: 1
Source: RefSeq, a predicted model, not a curated record